UGAAUGUUGACCUCGGAUCAGGUAGGAAUACCCGCUGAACUUAAGCAUAUCAAAAGGCGGAGGAA
This 65-nucleotide ribosomal RNA is filed under the name Fusarium fujikuroi. RNAcentral describes it as "partial 28S ribosomal RNA". The record is from RNAcentral. Lineage: Eukaryota; Fungi; Ascomycota; Sordariomycetes; Hypocreales; Nectriaceae.